GGGCCCGUAGCUCAGGUGGUAGAGCGGGCGGCUCAUAACCGCCCGGUCGGGGGUUCGAGUCCUCCCGGGCCCAUCA
This 76-nucleotide transfer RNA is filed under the name Gammaproteobacteria bacterium. Its description in RNAcentral is "tRNA-Met". It matches the Rfam family "tRNA". From Rfam's summary of the family: Transfer RNA (tRNA) molecules are approximately 80 nucleotides in length. Lineage: Bacteria; Pseudomonadati; Pseudomonadota; Gammaproteobacteria. The record is from RNAcentral.